CCAUCAGAUGUGCCCAGAUGGGAUUAGCUUGUUGGUGAGGUAACGGCUCACCAAGGCGACGAUCCCUAGCUGGUCUGAGAGGAUGACCAGCCACACUGGAACUGAGACACGGUCCAGACUCCUACGGGAGGCAGCAGUGGGGAAUAUUGCACAAUGGGCGCAAGCCUGAUGCAGCCAUGCCGCGUGUAUGAAGAAGGCCUUCGGGUUGUAAAGUACUU
RNAcentral lists this ribosomal RNA (218 nucleotides) under Salmonella enterica. RNAcentral describes it as "partial 16S ribosomal RNA". It matches the Rfam family "Bacterial small subunit ribosomal RNA", at positions 218 to 435 of the family's 1533-position model. RNAcentral also lists the same sequence under 2 other names. The record is from RNAcentral. Lineage: Bacteria; Pseudomonadati; Pseudomonadota; Gammaproteobacteria; Enterobacterales; Enterobacteriaceae.